GCAAAACUUGCUGAAGGUGAUCUUGGCUCCUCAAGGAAUAAGGACAGAGAAACUACGGUGAAGGUUUCACCAUCUUCUCCUCAUAAAGGAAAAGACCACAACAUUGAAAAUGGAGAAUUGACAGAUAAGGAGGAUCAUCUUUAUUUCUGGUUUCCACUGUUGGCUGGACUAUCUGAACUUAGCUUCGACCCGAGGCCUGAAAUCAGAAAGAGCGCUCUGCAAGUCCUUUUUGAUACCUUGCGCAAUUACGGGCACCAUUUCUCUCUAUCAUUAUGGGAAAGGGUAUUUGAAUCUGUACUAUUUCCUAUCUUUGACUAUGUUCGGCAUACUAUUGACCCUUCAGGUGAAAACUCACCUACUCAUGGAAUUGAUGCUGAAGAGGGUGAGCCUGAUCAAGAUUCAUGGCUUUAUGAGACCUGCACGCUGGCGCUCCAACUGGUUGUAGAUCUCUUUGUUAAAUUUUAUGAUACAGUCAAUCCACUUCUGAAGAAAGUGCUGUUCUUAUUGGUGAAUUUUGUCAAGCGUCCGCAUCAGAGUCUUGCUGGUAUUGGCAUUGCUGCAUUUGUCCGUCUUAUGAGCAAUGCUGGGAGUCUUUUCUCUGAAGAUAAAUGGCUUGAAGUGGUUUUGUCCAUUAAAGAAGCGGCUAAUGCAACUAUUCCCGACUUCUCUUUUCUUCUUAAUGAAAAUAACAAUUAUUGGUCCCAGGAAGAAGAUAUGACUGGGAAUGGCAAUGCAGAAACCACUGGUACAGAUACUCCAGAUGAGGACUUGGAUAAUUUGAGGAGGCACCGUCUGUAUGAUGCUAUUGCUGAUGUGAAGUGUAGGGCUGCUGUUCAGCUAUUAUUAAUUCAGGCUGUGAUGGAGAUCUACAACAUGUACAGACCUCAGCUGUCUAGCAAAAACAUCAUUGUCCUCUUUGAUGCCAUGCAUGGUGUGGCAUCGCAUGCUCAUAAAAUAAACAGUGACACGACACUGCGGUCAAAGCUGCUAGAGUUCAGUUCCAUGACCCAAAUGCAAGACCCUCCGUUAUUACGGCUUGAGAAUGAGGCUUAUCAAAUUUGUCUCUCAUUUUUACAAAAUCUUGUGUUAGAUAAACCUACUGGUUUUGAAGAUUCUGAUGUGGAAACUUACCUCGUCAACCUUUGCAGCGAGGUCUUACACUUCUAUAUUGAAAUCGCACAUUCAGGACAAAUGUCUGAGUCAUCUCUUGGUGCACAGCUUCGUUGGUUAAUUCCCCUGGGUUCUGGCAGAAGGAGAGAGUUGGCUGCACGUGCACCUCUUAUCAUUGCAACUCUCCAGGCAAUAUGUAGUUUAGGAGAUGCAUCAUUUGAGAAAAACUUGUCAGGCUUCUUCCCAUUACUUUCAAGCUUGAUAAGUUGUGAGCAUGGUUCAAAUGAGAUUCAGUUAGCCCUGAGUGAUAUGCUCAGUUCAUCCGUGGGUCCUGUUUUGCUUCGAUCAUGUUGAGCUUAGGGUACUCGUUAUUUCUUUUGCUUUAUAUGGUAUAUUUCUUGUAUUUUUGCCAAUUUUCCUAUCAUCUAAUAUUGCAGAAAGAUAGUUUCGGUGCUUCAAAAACUAGUGAUUGUUUAUAUGCCCAGGCAUUUAGAACCUUCUGCAGUAUAUUGAGGGGCUUAGCUCUUUGUAGAGUCAUUAGAUGUUAGCAGGAGUUCUGAUGUUGUAUGUGUAGCAUUUUCCUCUUUAAUAUACGAGCAAUUUCA
This 1715-nucleotide unclassified non-coding RNA is filed under the name Hevea brasiliensis (rubber tree). Lineage: Eukaryota; Viridiplantae; Streptophyta; Magnoliopsida; Malpighiales; Euphorbiaceae. The record is from RNAcentral.